GUUGCUGAAGGAAACGGAGAAGCUCUCAAGUGAAAUCCUCAACUUACGGAGCGAACGCACCCGGCUCAUCCUGCAGAACGAGGUUGCACAAAAGAACCACCAAGAGAUCGUGGCCAUAUAUAGGACUCACCUGCUCAAUGCAGCCCAGGGGUACAUGGAUGAAGAGGUCCACGCCAUGCUAUUGCGGAU
Molecule: non-coding RNA, 189 nt
Organism: Notechis scutatus (mainland tiger snake)
Lineage: Eukaryota; Metazoa; Chordata; Lepidosauria; Squamata; Elapidae
Source: RefSeq, a predicted model, not a curated record